Molecule: ribosomal RNA, 1049 nt
Filed under: Nitrospirota bacterium
Lineage: Bacteria; Pseudomonadati; Nitrospirota
Description: bacterial SSU rRNA
Rfam family: Bacterial small subunit ribosomal RNA
Source: RNAcentral
UUUUUGGAGAGUUUGAUCCUGGCUCAGAACGAACGCUGGCGGCGUGCUUAACACAUGCAAGUCGCACGGGAAAGUCCUUCGGGAUGAGUAUAGUGGCGCACGGGUGAGUAACACGUGGGUAAUCUGCCCUUAAGUGGGGAAUAACAUGCUGAAAGGCGUGCUAAUACCGCAUGAAAGAGGGGGGGCGUAAGCCAUUCCCUUUUAAAGAUGGCCUCUGCUUGCAAGCUAUCGCUUAAGGAUGAGCCCGCGGCCCAUUAGCUAGUUGGUAGGGUAAUGGCCUACCAAGGCGAUGAUGGGUAGCCGACCUGAGAGGGUGAUCGGCCACACUGGAACUGAGACACGGUCCAGACUCCUACGGGAGGCAGCAGUGGGGAAUUUUGCGCAAUGGGGGAAACCCUGACGCAGCAACGCCGCGUGAGUGAUGAAGGCCUUCGGGUUGUAAAGCUCUUUCGACUGGAAAGAAACUCUUCGGUGCUAAUACCACCGAGGAUUGACGGUACCAGUAUAAGAAGCCACGGCUAACUCUGUGCCAGCAGCCGCGGUAAGACAGAGGUGGCAAGCGUUGUUCGGAAUUAUUGGGCGUAAAGGGCGUGUAGGCGGUUUUGUAAGUCGGGCGUGCAAUCCCAUGGCUUAACCAUGGAACUGCGUUCGAUACUGCAUGACUUGAGUGCAGGAGAGGAGGGUGGAAUUCCCAGUGUAGAGGUGAAAUUCGUAGAUAUUGGGAGGAACACCGGUGGCGAAGGCGGCCCUCUGGACUGUAACUGACGCUAAAGCGCGAAAGCGUGGGGAGCAAACAGGAUUAGAUACCCUGGUAGUCCACGCUGUAAACGAUGGAUACUAGGUGUGGGAGGUAUCGACCCCUUCCGUGCCGCAGCUAACGCAUUAAGUAUCCCGCCUGGGGAGUACGGCCGCAAGGUUGAAACUCAAAGGAAUUGACGGGGGCCCGCACAAGCGGUGGAGUAUGUGGUUUAAUUCGACGCAACGCGAAGAACCUUACCCAGGCUGGACAUGCAGGUAGUAGAAGGGUGAAAGCCUAACGAGGUAGCAAU